GUCAGACUGGUGGAUGAAACAAGCCACCACAUUGGAGAAGCCAUGUGGCAAAGAACUGAGGGUGGCCUCCAGUCAACAGCCAGCAAGGAACUGAGGCCCUCAGUCCAAAAGGCAUGAAGACUGGCAACAGCCACUGAGAUAGGAAGCCAGUUCUACUUCAAUUAAAUCUUGACUGCAGCCUUGUGAGAGAACCUCAAGUCAGCAGCCCAGCUAAGCCACAUCCAGAUUCCUGACCACCCAAAACUGAAGCCAAUAAAAUGUGAAAGAGAAGCAGUGAUAGCAGGAAUCCUAAAUUUGCUUCUAACUUGAAAGGUUUCUAAAAUUUCAUCACUAAGAAAGAAGGAUAAACAGAAAAUAGGGAACAGUGUAAAUAAGAUGCAAGAAAAAGAGAUGGAAAAAAAUGGCAAGGCAAGAUGGUAAACAGAGAUACAUACCUCAGGAGUCAAGGACCUGCCUUUUGGACAUUUUCAAAUAAUCUCAUCCUGUGCAAGUACAGCCCAAUGCUCAGUCACAAACCUUCAAGGAAUCUCCAGACAUAAGUAUUCCAGUUUUUCUAUAUCCUCUCCAACACCUGAUAUUAUCAUUUCUUUUAAUUUUAAUUGUUCUCAUAGGUAUAUAGUAGUGUCUCAUAAUAGUUUAUUUUGCAUCUCUCUGAUGACUGAUGAUAUCAAACACCUUUUUAUAUGCUCAUUGGUUCUAGCAAUUUACUUAUGUUAUAAAUAUAUAGCAACAAAUGCAGAUAUGCAAGCUGAUACUAACUUCUUCUGAAGAAAGUUCCUCUCCCCUCACAGCACAGGUAAAGUAGAAUUUAAAGUGAUCAUUUCUCUUGUGGGUCUUUUUUUGGCUCCUCUGACUAUAAUUCUCUGAUAUGAGAUGUGUACACCUUUGUCAGAGCCUUUCUCCAGCCUUAGUUUACUGGAGAAUCACUCCUCACAGACCUCUCUGUUAAAAUCCUAUUACCCCUCUAGGGGUGACUUAAAGGUAGAAUUUUUAUGUAGCCCCAGGCUGUUUUUCUCUUUUAUGCCUGCCUAUGUUCCAUAGGAAACACUCAGUGCUCUGUUUUGGUGGGUGCGCUGCAUUUUUUCAAAUGCAGACUUCCACUGCCCCUCAGGUCUGCUGCUUAGGCCAGCAGCUGAGGCCUGUGGCUCUGGGGUUCCUCCGACAUGAGUCCAAGAGUGGUCAAACCCCAGGGGACGUAUCCCAUGCCUGAGUGGUUUCCCAAAAAACAAAAGGUGAGGAUGUAGGUAUUUCCUCUCCUUUCCCUUGGGAAGGACUCAUAGUCCAGCUUCACUAAAGAAAUCCUCAUCUGAUAUUCUACUUUUGACAUUUUUUUGCUCUCAAAGUGGUUGAAGGGUUUCAGGAGUCAUGCUCUGAAAGUCUGCAUUUUGGUGUGUCAAUUUGCUCUGAAGUUUUAUUUCUGUCAUAUUGUGGUAGGCUGAAUAAUGGUCCUGGAAAUAUGUCCCUGUCCCUAGAAUUUUAAAAUCUUUUAUCUUAUGUAAUAAAGGAGACUUUACCAAUGUGGUUAAGGAUCAUGAGAUCAAGAGAUCACCCUGGAUUAUCCAGGUGGGCCCAAUAUAAGCACUGGAGCCCUUAUAACGGAAGGCAGGAGGGUCAGAAUCAAUAGUAGGAGAUAUGAUGACAGAAACAAAAGGUUGGAGUGGCAUGUAGACGGGGCCAUGAGCCAAGGAAUGCAGGUGAGCUCUAUAAACUGAGAAAGGCAAGGAAACAAUCUCCUCUGGGGCCUCUGAAAGGAAUCAGCCCUGCCCACACCUUGGCUUUUAACCCAGUGAAACUAAUUAUGGAUUUCUGAUCCCCAGAACUGUAAGGCAACAAAUUGUGUGGUAUUAAACCACAACGUUUAUGGCAAGUUAUUACUGUAGUAACAGGGGUCUAAUACAGGUAUCCUGCUGCAUCAGGCAAAAUGUCAAGCUUUAUAUCUUGUUACCCAGACCCAAAAUUCCCUUUGAAAACUGGGUUAUUUGAAUGGUUGGAUUAAUAGUACACAUGGCUUCUAAUUACAGGACAGACUUGAAGUACUUAGAAGGGCUCUCAAAUUUUAUUUCCCCAUGGGUGGCCAGUAACAAUGCAUGAAGACUGAGCAUCACUUUUCUGUUAUACCUGGUUACAAAUAACAGCCUCCCAUUUGUAUUAGCCAAAUGACUCUGGAGAAGAUACUUCAACUAUUUUUAUUUCUGUAUCUACAAAAGGAGAUAUCAUCAUCUACUUUUCCGGAUUGGUCUGAGGAUUAAGUGAACUUAUUUAAAGUUUGGAAACCUUUUAGUUUGUAGUAGCUGAUUUAAAAAGUAUAGCCACUAAACAAUAUUAAAUAGAUGAUGAAAUUGAGACAUGAAAUUCAUGCUGAAGUUAAUUUGGAAGUGUUUAUUGAGUACUUAAUGCUCAGGACAAUCUUAGGUGCUGUGGUGGGUUUAAAAAUAUUUACCCUUGAGGUGGUUACAAGGGAGGUACCUUAACGCUUCCUUGGAGAAGUAAUGGGACAAGCAGUUUUACCUCACUUAGGUGAGAGAUCUCCAUGAUUCCAGAAGACAGAGUGUCCUGGUGGAGAGUAGUUAGUUUUGAAAUGUCAGUUUCCUCUUGUAGAGAAAUAAAGGUUCCUAUGGCCAGGAUUCUCACAUGAUGCUCGUCAUCUUGCUCCCUACACACGUGUGGGCAAUACAUCAUUAUUGACUCUAUAUAAAGAGCUCUGCCCAGUGCUCUGGGCUGCAGAAGAGCAGAGGCUGGAGUGCUUGCAGUGCCCAGGACAGAGACUGAGAUGGCUGCGGGGGCAG
Manis javanica (Malayan pangolin) is the source of this 2786-nucleotide non-coding RNA. Lineage: Eukaryota; Metazoa; Chordata; Mammalia; Pholidota; Manidae. The record is from RefSeq and is a predicted model, not a curated record.